Long non-coding RNA from Rhipicephalus microplus (southern cattle tick), 214 nucleotides. Lineage: Eukaryota; Metazoa; Arthropoda; Arachnida; Ixodida; Ixodidae. The record is from RefSeq and is a predicted model, not a curated record.
GGCAAAUGUUGGAGAGAGCACGUCAAAUGGACCCCAAAAGGAUGAGAACAAGACAUAUUAUGGCACUUGUAGCUCUGAAAAUCGUCUGUGAGAAUGUGAAGGAACGGUCAGCAUGCUCAAUUUUAUUUGUGCAAGAGACUGACGACAUGCCAGCAACGCCAUGUGUAUCUUAUAAUGGGGCCGUCCUUGAAGAUGCAGAGUUUUUCUGGCUGAU